UUUCUCUAUAUUUCUUUCCCGAGAGAUUCAAUAUUUCAUCCCUUAGCGCGAUUUUUUUGUAUUAGCGAUUUUUACGUUCAAACUUUCCACGGAAAAUUCACCCUUUUCCACGCGCCCUUUAUACCGCGUCCGUGUGUACUUAUCGUGUACUAUACGAAAUUUUCAAAAUUUUCAAUGUUAGUGUCUGGAAUCUUUACCGCGAUCCAUAUUUCGCAUUGUGCCGAGAGUCAAACAAUCAUUCCACUCGAAUGACAAGUUCUCGUCUUCCAGGUCUCACCGCGUGGAGGUGUCUACGUUCGAGACCCAGGCAGUGGAUAAUACUCACUGCCCCCUUCCCUAUUAAAUUGCUACUCUAUUAUACGGAGCGAAUAUUAGAGAAGGAUUUUAUACGAUUGCAAACAAGACUAACUAUUGAUUAACUAUUGACUCUAAUUUGGAACUAAGAUAAGCACAAAAUGCCAGACUUCACUUGGACAGCCAGAGUUCGAGCCGAGUAGGACAUCAUCGUGUUUGAUUUGUGUACAAGUUUCCAUGUGUCCUGGGCUUAAUUACAUAAGAAGCUAACGAGAAAUAGGAAUCAAAUGAUAGUGUCUGAAUCUAUCGAGAUGAAUAGGAAAUCAGGUGUUAAUUAAAGACUGAUAGUUGCAAAUAUAUUUCUAAGUCUAGCUUUAUGAAUGUAUGUAGUCAAAGUGAUGAUUUGUAAAUUGACUCUCCUUCUGUAUUUCUAAUUAAAAUCUUUCUGCGUCAAUGCAAGGAAUAUAUCGACGUUUGAUCAAGCGGCAAGCUUCAAUUAUUACUUUCGUUUUUCAAUAAUUAGUUGAUGAGCGAUCCAGGUCUCUAAGAAAGAAAUGAAAUGGGUGUUAUCUCAUCCGUUUCCUUUUAAUUAACCAUUCCUUUGAUAUGGACAGUUAGUCGAAUUAUUCUUGGGUAUCUUUCUACUCUGUUUCGCAGUGAUAAAAUCGUAUAAUUAUUUCUGACUUGACGUUCAUAUAAAUAUAAAAAACUUUCAGUUGAUUGUAAUAGCUUUUAUAUCUCAUCUCGCAGAUUCUGUGUUUCAAUACGUAGAUUUCAUUUUUAUUGUAUGUCAUUUUAAAAAUGGUCAGUACUUCGACAUUUAGAUAAAUGUACAUAUUUGUAU
This is an RNA transcript of Ceratina calcarata, 1138 nucleotides long. RefSeq lists it as uncharacterized. The record is from RefSeq and is a predicted model, not a curated record. Lineage: Eukaryota; Metazoa; Arthropoda; Insecta; Hymenoptera; Apidae. The transcript is spliced from 3 exons.